Molecule: unclassified non-coding RNA, 244 nt
Filed under: Hevea brasiliensis (rubber tree)
Lineage: Eukaryota; Viridiplantae; Streptophyta; Magnoliopsida; Malpighiales; Euphorbiaceae
Source: RNAcentral
GUCUCUUUCUUUCUUUAUUUUCCUGCAAAAUUUAGGAGGAAAGGGUAUUUAUGAGUGCAAUUAUUAGGAAUGGAAUUGAAAUGGGGUUUUCUCAAUUUUGUUUGGUUACUAGGAAACUGUGAAAAUCCAUGAAUAUGUAGCAAAUUCGAUUGUGUAAAUUCUCACAAAUGUUAGAGGUGGGUUCUGCAGCUCAAGCUAGCUGGCCAUUAAAGUAAUUGUGAAAGGUCAAAAAGGGCAAGAACCA